CUUCGCUGCAUGGCAAUUUAACAAACGACUGCACAUCUUACUCAGUAUUAAAUGAAGCUACCACGCACUGUCCAAAUGUUGGCGAAUCUCUUCAAAUUUUGGGAUCAGGUGGUUAUUGUGAAUAUGAAUUAAGAGGAAGCCUAGGUACCCAGCAAUAGUGAUGACUUAAGAGGAGGAUCUAUGAAUUUUACUUGAUUGCGGUGUGUGUGGACUACAACAAGGCAUCCUUAGAGGAAACGUGGAAUCAGUGGCAGCAAUUUCUGGAUAUCAGUAUUGAACUGUAUGUGUGCAGGCUGCAGACAUUGCUAUCAGUUACUAAGCAUUAUCAACAGAGAACAUUAAUAGUUUCACCAUUAAUUUCUACCACAUAAUCUGAGCCAUAAUUUCAAUUGCGUUACGCACUAUCAGAGUUACAAGUUUUACAAGACCCUGUGUGGGCUGAUUUCAUCUAUAUUAUACCUUAUCCUGCUUAGAUAGAAGAGAACUGAAAGACAUUUUUUUGUGUUACUGUUGAAUUCAGUAAGCAAGUGCUGCAUUGCAUUUCAGAAUUAGUGCAUCAGUGACUUGUAAUUAAACUUCAAUAAC
Stegostoma tigrinum is the source of this 585-nucleotide long non-coding RNA. RefSeq lists it as uncharacterized. The transcript has 3 exons. NCBI's taxonomy places the organism in Eukaryota, Metazoa, Chordata, Chondrichthyes, Orectolobiformes, Stegostomatidae. The record is from RefSeq and is a predicted model, not a curated record.